GAGUUUGAUCCUGGCUCAGGACGAACGCUGGCGGCGCGCCUAACACAUGCAAGUCGAACGAGAGAGAGGGAGCUUGCUUCCUUAAUCGAGUGGCGAACGGGUGAGUAACGCGUGAGGAACCUGCCUCAAAGAGGGGGACAACAGUUGGAAACGACUGCUAAUACCGCAUAAGCCCACGACCCGGCAUCGGGAAGAGGGAAAAGGAGCAAUCCGCUUUGAGAUGGCCUCGCGUCCGAUUAGCUAGUUGGUGAGGUAACGGCCCACCAAGGCGACGAUCAGUAGCCGGACUGAGAGGUUGAACGGCCACAUUGGGACUGAGACACGGCCCAGACUCCUACGGGAGGCAGCAGUGGGGAAUAUUGCACAAUGGGGGAAACCCUGAUGCAGCGACGCCGCGUGAAGGAAGAAGUAUCUCGGUAUGUAAACUUCUAUCAGCAGGGAAGAUAAUGACGGUACCUGACUAAGAAGCCCCGGCUAACUACGUGCCAGCCGCCGCGGUAAUAC
Molecule: ribosomal RNA, 504 nt
Filed under: uncultured bacterium
Lineage: Bacteria
Description: bacterial SSU rRNA
Rfam family: Bacterial small subunit ribosomal RNA
Source: RNAcentral